UGCCUGGAGGGGACCCGCCGCCAUCUCAGGUCUCUUGGCUUUGCCAGGGCCCACCGGAGAAAACUGACGACCCGUUUCUGUAAUCCUUAUGGGAGACCAACCUUGUGCCUCCGGGAGAUCCACUCUCCCACCUGGAAACGCACGGGAAGCCAAGCCUCCAAAAAAGCGCUGCCUCCUCGCUCCGCGUUGGGAUUAUCCGGAAGGAACUCCCAACGGAGGUAGUACCACUCUACCCUCCGCACCUCCUCCUGCAUCAGCCGGCCUGAAGUCGCACCCUCCUCCUCCGGAGAAGUAGAGAAAUAAAUUUCUCCCACCCUAAACCAGUCUUUGAGCGAUUGCAGUAUGACUCCAUUUCCCUGGUGCAUUCAUAUAAUAGUUCACCUGGUGAAAACAAUGAAGAUUAUUUACAAUGCUACCCUGCUUUUUCUGGUGUCCUGCACCUGGAAGUUGUGCUUUUUAAGUCUUAUGAUGUAAUCAGCGUGAUUUCACUUCCUGAAUUUUGAUGAACUCUAAGACAUGGGCAAGAUCGGGUUGUAAGACCUCUGAGAUUUAAGGCCAUGGCCUGGAUCAUGGUGAACUUACCAAAGCAAACAAUGCCUGUGAGAUGGUCCUGCAGCAACCAACCAGUGCGCUCUUUUGGUGACAUCCAGUUCUUGUUGUAUAACUUUAUAUCCCUAUAAAUCCAUUAAGGCCCCAAUAAAGUUUGUCUCUAAGUGCUGUGUUAGAUCUAUAUGACUACAUCUAGUAAAUUGUGAAUUUUAAGUAAAUAUUUUCUAAGAACUCCUAUGUAAAGCAUUACUAAAAUUAGUGUUGAAAUAUGACCUUCUUCCUACAUUUAUUCAUUUAUUUAUGUCUAUUUAUUCAUUUAUUUUAGUGAAAAAUAUAAAGAAAGGAGAGGAAGGUUAAAUCCAAAAAAGAAUUCAAUUUCCAGUACACUUACUUUACUUUGCUGUCAGUUUUUGCAUGGAAUCUACAUCUUUUUAUGCUAAUCCUCAUCAUAUUAUUUUACAUCUUAACUAUUUUUUUCUGACUAAAAUGGUUGAUGUGCUUGUUUUUUGUAAUUUUCUACUUUCUAAAAUGCUUAGUAUUGAACAAAUAGAAUAUCCUAAUUAAAAACAGUAAUAAAUAUUAUGGUGAAAAAAUACAAGUAAAAUGGGAAAACAUUAGAUAGCAGCUUUCAAUAUUUCAUAUAGUUCAUAAAUUUUUCAGGAAUUAGAAGGUUAUAGAAAAAAAUUUAUAGACUAUAAUAAUUUCCAGGGAUAUAAAAAAUAAAGCUUCUACCUCUGAAUUGUAAUAAAAGAUAAACAGAUUUGAAAGCAUAUAUUAUAUCCGAAAAUGUCAGAUAAACUUGGCUUAUAAAUUAAAAUAUAAAAUAAUAAUACAAUUUGUUCAAAUAAGUAAUUAAAGCUGACAUUGUAAAAUGAAUAUUUAGAGAGAUUGUGAAACCUGAGUAUUUUACCCAGUCCUCUGAAAUUAGUCCCUAGCAUCAGAAUUAAAGAAUCUGGAAAAUCACAAACGGAGGAAUGGUGACAUUUAUGUAUAUUCUAGAGUUAUGUUAUGCACACUUAAUAAAUUAUAGACAGUUAUUUUAAAGAUUGUAUAAUAUUACUAAUCACACAUUAGAGUUUUAAAACUUCUGAGCCAGCCUGAACAUCACAAACAGUAAACACAGACUUCUUUAAAAUGACAUCUGGUGAAAGGUAUUUUAUGCAUCAGAAGGCAUAGUAUUAUAAAGAUGACAACACUCUUCAAAAUAAUCAAAAUAUUUAAUGCAACCCUUAUCAAAAUUAAGGUUGCCUACUUUGAAGAAAUUUAUAACCUGAUUCUAAAGUUCAUAUGAAAAUGUAAUGGACCCAGAAUAGCCAAAACAAUCUUGAAGUAUACAAAGUUUGAAGGUCACAUUUCCAAAUUUUAAAACUUAUUACAAAGCUACAAUAAACAAGUCUAUGUGGUACUGGCAUAGGAUAUAAAUAUUGAUCAAUGAAAGAAAAAAAGUCCUUCUGAAGUGUAACAAAAUAUGCACUAAAUAAAUUUAAAAUGCUGUGACAAAGAAAAAGAAAAAAGAAAUAGAAUCCAAAGUCCAGACAUAAGCCCUCACAAAAGUUAAUUUGCAGCCAAUUAACUUCUGACAAGGAGGCAAGACAUAAGGGAAAAUAACUAUUUUCAACAAAUGGUACUGGGACAAUUUGGUAUCUACAUGCAAAAAAAAAAAAAAAAA
This 2218-nucleotide long non-coding RNA is filed under the name Pongo abelii (Sumatran orangutan). RNAcentral describes it as "uncharacterized LOC100171857 (LOC100171857)". Lineage: Eukaryota; Metazoa; Chordata; Mammalia; Primates; Hominidae. The record is from RNAcentral.